Molecule: non-coding RNA, 203 nt
Filed under: Geminigera cryophila
Lineage: Eukaryota; Cryptophyceae; Pyrenomonadales; Geminigeraceae
Source: RNAcentral
GAAUAUUCAUACCACUGAGAUACAAGAACUAGAAUCGAAGAUGUACAUUCAUAAAAAGGCAUUCAUGCGACAGAAUAUUCAUGAGACUAAAGGUCAGCAGGGGGGUAUGCAUAAGGUCGAAUGUUUCUUUCUUUCUUUCUUUCUUUCUGAUAUUAAAACAGAAUUUUUUUAUAAAAAAGAAUUCAUACGACAGAAUAUGAAUG